AAGUCGUAACAAGGUUUCCGUAGGUGAACCUGCGGAAGGAUCAUUAUCGUACAACUGAGGUGCAAGGGCUGUCGCUGACCGUCAAAGGUCGUGCACGCCCGAGCGCUCUCACACAAUCCAUCUCACCUUUGUGCAUCACCGCGUGGGUCCCCUUUGCGGGAGGGCUUGCGUUUUCACAUAAAAACUCGAUACAGUGUAGAAUGUUUCUUUUGCGGUCACACGCAAUCAAUACAACUUUCAACAACGGAUCUCUUGGCUCUC
This 261-nucleotide unclassified non-coding RNA is filed under the name Russula sp. Its description in RNAcentral is "partial contains small subunit ribosomal RNA, internal transcribed spacer 1, and 5.8S ribosomal RNA". The stretch from base 1 to 46 matches the Rfam family "Eukaryotic small subunit ribosomal RNA", at positions 1786 to 1831 of the family's 1831-position model. The record is from RNAcentral. Lineage: Eukaryota; Fungi; Basidiomycota; Agaricomycetes; Russulales; Russulaceae.